AACGAACGCUGGCGGCAGGCUUAACACAUGCAAGUCGAACGGGCGUAGCAAUACGUCAGUGGCAGACGGGUGAGUAACACGUGGGAACCUUCCUCGUAGUACGGAACAACUCAGGGAAACUUGAGCUAAUACCGUAUACGUCCGAGAGGAGAAAGAUUUAUCGCUAUGAGACGGGCCCGCGUCCGAUUAGGUAGUUGGUGGGGUAACGGCCUACCAAGCCGACGAUCGGUAGCUGAUCUGAGAGGAUGAUCAGCCACACUGGGACUGAGACACGGCCCAGACUCCUACGGGAGGCAGCAGUGGGGAAUCUUGGACAAUGGGCGCAAGCCUGAUCCAGCCAUGCCGCGUGAGUGAAGAAGGCCUUAGGGUUGUAAAGCUCUUUUGCCAGGGACGAUAAUGACGGUACCUGGAGAAUAAGCCCCGGCAAACUUCGUGCCAGCCGCCGCCGUAA
This 451-nucleotide ribosomal RNA is filed under the name uncultured bacterium. Its description in RNAcentral is "bacterial SSU rRNA". It matches the Rfam family "Bacterial small subunit ribosomal RNA", at positions 29 to 523 of the family's 1533-position model. The record is from RNAcentral.